AUUGCGAAUCGUUGCCUUCAGUGCUGGCCGGCUUCGGCAAGUGCACGUCGGUGACUUUCAUCCAAUACCCUGUGAACCUUUGGCCUCUUGCUAGCUUCGGCCGGCAGAGGAUUUUACACAAACUCGAAUGUAAUGAAAUUUAUUGUCGUGCGCAAGCACUAAUGUACAACUUUCAACAACGGAUCUCUUGGCUCUCGCAUCGAUGAAGAACGCAGCGAAAUGCGAUAAGUAAUGUGAAUUGCAGAAUUCAGUGAAUCAUCGAAUCUUUGAACGCACCUUGCACCUUUUGGCAUUCCGAAAGGUAUGCUCGUUUGAGUGUCAUUGUACUCUCACACUCCCAAUGCUUUUGGAUUGGGAGUGGUGGACUUGGGUGUUGCUGCUUUACUGUGGCUCGCCUCAAAUGGAGUAGUGCAACUCUCGGUUGGACAUAGUACGGCGUGAUAAGUGUCUUCGCCGGCGCCUCACUAGAGGGUGGCCGAUCAGGAGCUCUGUGCUUCAAACCGUCUUCGGACAAUAUCUGACAACUUGACCUCAAAU
RNAcentral lists this small RNA (537 nucleotides) under uncultured Sebacina. Its description in RNAcentral is "eukaryotic LSU rRNA". The stretch from base 168 to 321 matches the Rfam family "5.8S ribosomal RNA". Lineage: Eukaryota; Fungi; Basidiomycota; Agaricomycetes; Sebacinales; Sebacinaceae. The record is from RNAcentral.